UUUUGAUUAUAAUUUAAAGUCUAACCUGCUCUAUGAAAUUAUUUUAAAUGGCCGCGAUAUCUUGAUCGUGCAAAGGUAGCAUAAUAAUUAGUUUUUUAAUUAAGAACUGGUAUGAAUGGUUGAACGAGAAAAAAACUGUCUCAAUUUAAGUUAAAUUAAAAUUUUAUUUUUAAGUUAAAAAGCUUAAAUUUUUUUAAAAGACGAGAAGACCCUAUAGAGUUUUAUAUAAUUAAUUAUUUUUAAAAAUUUUGGAAUUUAAAGUUUAAUUAUAAUAGGUUGUAUUUAGUUGGGGUGACUAAAAAAUUUAAAAAACUUUUUUUAAAUUUUCAACAUUAAUUUAUGAAUAAAUGAUCC
This 354-nucleotide ribosomal RNA is filed under the name Macroderes minutus. Its description in RNAcentral is "partial large subunit ribosomal RNA". Lineage: Eukaryota; Metazoa; Arthropoda; Insecta; Coleoptera; Scarabaeidae. The record is from RNAcentral.